RNAcentral lists this ribosomal RNA (1382 nucleotides) under uncultured bacterium. Its description in RNAcentral is "bacterial SSU rRNA". It matches the Rfam family "Bacterial small subunit ribosomal RNA", at positions 18 to 1396 of the family's 1533-position model. The record is from RNAcentral.
CCUGGCUCCGUAUGAACGCUAGCUACAGGCUUAACACAUGCAAGUCGAGGGGCAGCAUCAUCAAAGCUUGCUUUGAUGGAUGGCGACCGGCGCACGGGUGAGUAACACGUAUCCAACCUGCCGACAACACUGGGAUAGCCUUUCGAAAGAAAGAUUAAUACCGGAUGGCAUAAUUAUUCCGCAUGGGAUAAUUAUUAAAGAAUUUCGGUUGUCGAUGGGGAUGCGUUCCAUUAGGCAGUUGGCGGGGUAACGGCCCACCAAACCUACGAUGGAUAGGGGUUCUGAGAGGAAGGUCCCCCACAUUGGAACUGAGACACGGUCCAAACUCCUACGGGAGGCAGCAGUGAGGAAUAUUGGUCAAUGGACGAGAGUCUGAACCAGCCAAGUAGCGUGAAGGAUGACUGCCCUAUGGGUUGUAAACUUCUUUUAUACGGGAAUAAAGUGAGCCACGUGUGGCUUUUUGUAUGUACCGUAUGAAUAAGGAUCGGCUAACUCCGUGCCAGCAGCCGCGGUAAUACGGAGGAUUCGAGCGUUAUCCGGAUUUAUUGGGUUUAAAGGGAGCGUAGGCGGGUUGUUAAGUCAGUUGUGAAAGUUUGCGGCUCAACCGUAAAAUUGCAGUUGAUACUGGCGACCUUGAGUGCAACAGAGGUAGGCGGAAUUCGUGGUGUAGCGGUGAAAUGCUUAGAUAUCACGAAGAACUCCGAUUGCGAAGGCAGCUUACUGGAUUGUAACUGACGCUGAUGCUCGAAAGUGUGGGUAUCAAACAGGAUUAGAUACCCUGGUAGUCCACACAGUAAACGAUGAAUACUCGCUGUUGGCGAUAUACAGUCAGCGGCCAAGCGAAAGCAUUAAGUAUUCCACCUGGGGAGUACGCCGGCAACGGUGAAACUCAAAGGAAUUGACGGGGGCCCGCACAAGCGGAGGAACAUGUGGUUUAAUUCGAUGAUACGCGAGGAACCUUACCCGGGCUUAAAUUGCAACUGACGGAACCGGAAACGGUUCUUUCUUCGGACAGUUGUGAAGGUGCUGCAUGGUUGUCGUCAGCUCGUGCCGUGAGGUGUCGGCUUAAGUGCCAUAACGAGCGCAACCCUUACGGGUAGUUACCAUCAGGUUAUGCUGGGGACUCUACCCGGACUGCCGUCGUAAGAUGUGAGGAAGGUGGGGAUGACGUCAAAUCAGCACGGCCCUUACGUCCGGGGCUACACACGUGUUACAAUGGGGGGUACAGAAGGCAGCUACACGGCGACGUGGUGCUAAUCCCAAAAGCCUCUCUCAGUUCGGAUUGGAGUCUGCAACCCGACUCCAUGAAGCUGGAUUCGCUAGUAAUCGCGCAUCAGCCACGGCGCGGUGAAUACGUUCCCGGGCCUUGUACACACCGCCCG